RNAcentral lists this transfer RNA (73 nucleotides) under Atopostipes suicloacalis DSM 15692. It matches the Rfam family "tRNA". From Rfam's summary of the family: Transfer RNA (tRNA) molecules are approximately 80 nucleotides in length. Their secondary structure includes four short double-helical elements and three loops (D, anti-codon, and T loops). The record is from Rfam by way of RNAcentral. Lineage: Bacteria; Bacillati; Bacillota; Bacilli; Lactobacillales; Carnobacteriaceae.
GGAUCUUUAGCUCAGUAGGGAGAGCACCAGCUCGACAAGCUGGGGGUCGCUGGUUCGAGCCCAGCAAGGUCCA